This 110-nucleotide small RNA is filed under the name Pseudomonas sp. OF001. Lineage: Bacteria; Pseudomonadati; Pseudomonadota; Gammaproteobacteria; Pseudomonadales; Pseudomonadaceae. The record is from RNAcentral.
AUCCACCGAGCGAAAGGAUGCGCCCGGAAUCACGGAUGAUGGACCAGCGCCAGGAGGCGACCGACAGGAUGUCGGAUGGUCAGGAAAGAACCCGCUUCGGCGGGUUUUUU